This 253-nucleotide ribosomal RNA is filed under the name uncultured bacterium. Its description in RNAcentral is "partial 16S ribosomal RNA". It matches the Rfam family "Bacterial small subunit ribosomal RNA", at positions 524 to 776 of the family's 1533-position model. The record is from RNAcentral.
GACAGAGGUGCCAAGCGUUAGGCGGAAUCACUGGGCUUAAAGCGUGUGUAGGCGGAUUUGUAAGUACCUUGUGAAAUCCCACGGCUUAACCGUGGAACUGCUCGGUAUACUGCGAAUCUUGGGCCAUCUAGGGGCGAGCGGAACAAGUGGUGGAGCGGUGAAAUGCGUAGAUAUCACUUGGAACGCCAAUGGUGAAAACAGCUCGCUGGGGAUGUGCCGACGCUGAGACACGAAAGCCAGGGGAGCGAACGGG